ACAGUGGACGCGAGCAUCUGUGGCCAAGUUUAUAAGGGCGCACGGUGGAUGCCUUGGCACCAGGAACCGAUGCAUGACGUGGGAGGCCACGAUAGUCCCCGGGGAGCUGUCAACCAAGCUUUGAGCCGGGGGUUUCCGAAUGGGGAAUCCCGGGAGUCGUCAUGGGCUGUCAACCGCUGCUGAACUCAUAGGCUGUGUGGAGGGUACUUGGGGUAGUGUAACAUCUGUGGACCGACUGGUAGAGUUAACAACAGUUUUUGGUGGAGUAGUGGCGAGGGUAUCUGGUUGUGGACUAUCCGUAUGCGUUUGAUACGCGGCGGUGGUUGAGGAUGCUGGGUUGUGGG
This 344-nucleotide ribosomal RNA is filed under the name Streptomyces sp. SP18CM02. RNAcentral's name for it is "partial 23S ribosomal RNA". It matches the Rfam family "Bacterial large subunit ribosomal RNA", at positions 1 to 304 of the family's 2925-position model. Lineage: Bacteria; Bacillati; Actinomycetota; Actinomycetes; Kitasatosporales; Streptomycetaceae. The record is from RNAcentral.